Molecule: non-coding RNA, 2365 nt
Organism: Carica papaya (papaya)
Lineage: Eukaryota; Viridiplantae; Streptophyta; Magnoliopsida; Brassicales; Caricaceae
Source: RefSeq, a predicted model, not a curated record
UAUACCCGUGGAGUAUUUCAUUCCUCCUCCUGAAAUGGUUUUCUUAUAACAUAAUCACUGGGUUGAGUACAGACUGAAGUUUGCUGGUCCAUUAGCAGUUUGCAUUUUACAUUAUGGGUUGGCUGACCAAGAUCUUUAAAGGUUCUAGCGGUAAAAUCUCAUCAGGACAGUAUCAGGGGAAAUACAAAGAUGAUGGAAUUUGGGAAGAGCCUCGCUAUUCGGUGCAGGAUAAUUUGUCAGAUUUUGACAAAGAAGAGAUUGAGUGUGCCAUUGCACUCUCCCUUUCGGAACAAGAUCAAAUUUCUCAACAGGAUUUGAAAGGGAAAAAACCAAUUGAUGAUGAAUCUCAAUCCCUGGAAGAUGAAGGAUGUUUGACAAUUGAGUCGGAUGAGGAUGAAAAAUGUGGCAAAACUGUGUCGGAGGAAGAUGAAAAACAAUGUAACAAAGCUGGAUUGGAAGAAGAUGAACCGUUUUGUACUGAAGCACAGGUUGAGGAAGAUGAAAAACUGGCAAAGGCUAUUCAAGAAAGUUUGAAUAUGGAUUCUCCUCCCCAAAACAUAUUUCGGCCUUUUCCUUUCUUCUUCCCAAGUAGUUAUAGGAUCUGUGCGGGUUGCAAUAGCGAAAUUGGCCAUGGAAGAUUUUUAAGUUGCAUGGGUGCCGUUUGGCAUCCUGAAUGUUUUCGUUGCCAUUCGUGCAACCUGCCAAUCGGUGAUUAUGAGUUUUCAGUGUCUGGAAAUCGGCCUUACCACAAAUCUUGUUAUAAGGAGCACCAUCGACCAAAAUGUGAUGUUUGCCGGAACUAUAUUCCUACAAAUGGAGCUGGCCUGAUCGAGUACAGGGCACAUCCUUUUUGGCUUCAAAAGUACUGCCCUUCACAUGAGCGUGAUGGGACACCCAGGUGUUGUAGUUGUGAAAGAAUGGAGCCAAGGGAAACAAGAUAUCUAUUACUUGAUGAUGGUCGAAAGUUAUGUCUUGAAUGCCUUGAUUCUGCAAUUAUGGAUACUAAUGAAUGCCAGCCCUUAUACCUUGAAAUACGAGAAUUCUAUGAAGGUUUAAAUAUGAAAGUAGAGCAACAAAUUCCUUUGCUCCUGGUAGAGAGACAAGCCUUAAAUGAGGCUAUGGAGGGAGAAAAGAAUGGACACCAUCAUCUACCUGAAACCAGAGGACUUUGCCUGUCUGAAGAACAGACUGUUACCACCGUUUCGAAAAGGCCAAGGGUUGGGGCAGGCUACCGAUUCAUAGACAUGAUAACAGAGCCUUUUAGGCUGGUACGACAAUGUGAGGUGACUGCCAUCCUCAUUUUGUAUGGGCUUCCUAGGUUGCUGACAGGUUCAAUCCUGGCACAUGAGAUGAUGCAUGCUUGGCUUCGGCUUAAAGGAUAUCCAAAUCUUAGUCCAGAGGUAGAAGAAGGUAUAUGUCAGGUGCUGGCUCAUAUGUGGCUGGAUUCUGAGAUAUAUUCCGGAUCUGGAAGUGAAGCUGCUUCAUCAUCUUCCUCUUCAUCACCAUCACCAUCACCAGCUUCAUCUUCCUCCACAUCAUCAAAGAAGGGUAAACGGUCUGAUUUUGAGAAGAAGCUUGGUGAUUUUUUUAAGCACCAGAUUGAAUCAGAUACAUCAUCAGCUUAUGGAGAUGGAUUCAGGCGUGGGAAUGAGGCAGUGCUUAAGUAUGGCCUCAGGAGGACUCUCGAUCAUAUCCGGUUGACAGGGACCUUUCCUUGUUGAUUUUCUUCACCUCUUGCUCCUUUUGUUUCAUGGCAGUGAUGAUACUCCCUUGGUGGAGAUUUCUGUUUCUUUUUAAGGUUAUGAACUAAGAAACCCUGCUGUGUGCUCAUUUGGUGACUCAGAAGUUGAUGUAACUUUUAUCAUAAGCAACAGGGUUGUUUCUUUUCCUCCCAUAGGAGUAGUCAGAGAUAAGCAGCAUAAUUGAUAAUAUCAUAAGAGGAAAUGCUCAAAAAGCCAACCUUGAAGAACGGAUACAGCUCGUUCGGGCAAUCAUCGCUGGGUCUCCAGGCAUUGUUUUGGACGACACCAAGCUGUUGUAAGGCCUGCUGUUGGCGAAGCUGGUGAUCAAUGUACUUUAAUUUGGAGUAGCCAGCUUCAACAUUAGAUGACGUCAUUGCAGCUCUUUGUGACCAAUCUUCUUCUCCUAAACUCUUUCUUGUGGCAUUGACUUGAACUGAUAUUACAUCUUUAAGACACCUGAAUUGCUUCGUUAUUGUUUGCAAACCAAGUGCACUGUAUGAUUUCGCCGAAUCCAACCGUGCAACAUUUGAUGUUGCAUAGUUAUGAGUGAUUAAAUAUAGAUCACUUAUAAUUUUGAUGUAUGAUUGUGCACAUAUGUAAAUGAAAGCAAGUAGUUCCAGAUA